AUACCGAAGAUGUGAGUGCUUAUUGAUUUCGAUCAAUAGGCGCGGUAGCGGAGCGUUCCGUAAGUCUGUGAAGGUGGUUUGUGAAAACUGCUGGAGAUAUCGGAAGUGAGAAUGCUGACAUAAGUAGCGUAAAAGAGUGUGAAAAACACUCUCACCAAAAAUCUAAGGGUUCCUAUGUUAAGUUAAUCUGCGUAGGGUUAGUCGGUUCCUAAGGCGAGUCCGUAAAGGAGUAGUCGAUGGCAAUUAGGUUAAUAUUCCUAAACCUCUUAAGUGUGACGGGUUUCGUAUUUGUAUAGAUCUUAUUGGAUUGAUCUAUGCUUAAAAGAAGCUCCAGGAAAUAGCACUUAUAUUUAUGAGGCCGUACCGCAAACCGACACUGGUGGAUGAGUAGAGUAUACUAAGGUGUUGAAAGAAUGAUGUUGAAGGAACUCGGCAAAUUAUACCUGUAACUUCGGAAGAAGGGUAACCUGCUUUUAGGCAACUAUGAGUAGGUGGCACAAAAUAGGGAGUAGCGACUGUUUACUAAAAACACAGGACUCUGCAAACACGUAAGUGGAAGUAUAGGGUCUGACGCCUGCCCGGUGCUGGAAGGUUAAUAGGAAGGGUGCAAGCUCCGAAUUGAAGCCCCAGUAAACGGCGGCCGUAACACUGACGGUCCUAAGGUAGCGAAAUUCCUUGUCGGGUAAGUUCCGACCCGCACGAAUGGCGUAACGAUUUCUCCACUGUCUCCAACAUCACUUCAGCGAAAUUGAAUUCCCCGUGCAGAUGCGGGGUACCCGCGGUUAGACGAAGAGACCCCGUGCACCUUUACUAUAGCUUUACAUUGCUAUUAAAAGUGUGAUGUGCAGGAUAGGUGGGAGACUUUGAAGUUAUGGCGCUAGCUAUAAUGGAGUCAACCUUGAGAUACCACCCUUUACACUUUUGAUAUCUAACUAUGUUUCAUUAUCUGGAACUAGGACAUUGUAUGGUGGGUAGUUUGACUGGGGCGGUCGCCUCCUAAAAAGUAACGGAGGCGUGCGAAGGUAAGCUAGAGCUGGUCGGAAAUCAGCUUGAUAGUAUAAUGGCAUAAGCUUGCCUGACUGCGAGGCUGACAAGCCAAGCAGAGACGAAAGUCGGUCAUAGUGAUCCGGUGAUUCUGUAUGGAAGGGUCAUCGCUCAACGGAUAAAAGGUACGCCGGGGAUAACAGGCUGAUGGUGUUCGAGCGUUCAUAGCGACGACACCGUUUGGCACCUCGAUGUCGACUCAUCACAUCCUGGGGCUGAAGAAGGUCCCAAGGGUUCGGCUGUUCGCCGAUUAAAGUGAUACGUGAGUUGGGUUUAGAACGUCGUGAGACAGUUCGGUUUCUAUCUGCCGUGGGUGAAGGAAAUUUGAGAAGGUCUGACUCUAGUACGAGAGGACCGAGAUGGAUAUACCUCUGGUGUACCAGCUGUUAUGCCAAUAGCAUCGCUGGGUGGCUAUGUAUAGAUGGGAUAAUUGCUGAAAGCAUAUAAGCAAGAAACCCUCUUCAAAAAGAUUUCCCAAUUAAGGCCGUGGAAGACUACCACGUUGAUAGGCUAGGUGUGGAAGCAUGGUAACAUGUGAAGCUAACUAGUACUAAUAGCCUGAUUGAUUUAUUUGC
Molecule: ribosomal RNA, 1619 nt
Filed under: Wolbachia endosymbiont of Drosophila bocqueti
Lineage: Bacteria; Pseudomonadati; Pseudomonadota; Alphaproteobacteria; Rickettsiales; Anaplasmataceae
Description: partial 23S ribosomal RNA
Rfam family: Bacterial large subunit ribosomal RNA
Source: RNAcentral